RNAcentral lists this ribosomal RNA (465 nucleotides) under uncultured bacterium. Its description in RNAcentral is "partial 16S ribosomal RNA". It matches the Rfam family "Bacterial small subunit ribosomal RNA", at positions 28 to 507 of the family's 1533-position model. The record is from RNAcentral.
GACGAACGCUGGCGGCGUGCUUAACACAUGCAAGUCGAACGGUGAACUCCGCUUGCGGGGGGCACAGUGGCGAACGGGUGAGUAACACGUGGGCAACCUGCCCUCAGCUCUGGGAUAACUCCAAGAAAUUGGGGCUAAUACCGGAUAUGACCGCUGACCGCAUGGUCUGGUGGUGGAAAGAUUUAUCGGCUGGGGAUGGGCACGCGGCCUAUCAGCUUGUUGGUGGGGUAGUGGCCUACCAAGGCGCCGACGGGUCGCCGCUCUGAGAGGUGGAACGGCCACACUGAGCCUGAGACACGGCCCAGACACCUACGGGCGGCAGCAGUGGGGAAUAUUGCGCGAUGGUCGAAAGCCUGACGCAACGACGCCGCGUGGGGGAUGACCGCCUUCGGGUUGUAAACCUCUUUCAGCGAGGACAAAGCGAAAGUGACGGUACCUGCAGAAGAAGCACCGGCCAACUACGUG